UUAAGUUAUUAAGGGCGCACGGUGGAUGCCUUGGCACUAGAAGCCGAUGAAGGACGUUACUAACGACGAUAUGCUUUGGGGAGCUGUAAGUAAGCUUUGAUCCAGAGAUUUCCGAAUGGGGAAACCCAGCAUGAGUUAUGUCAUGUUAUCGAUAUGUGAAUACAUAGCAUAUCAGAAGGCACACCCGGAGAACUGAAACAUCUUAGUACCCGGAGGAAGAGAAAGAAAAUUCGAUUCCCUUAGUAGCGGCGAGCGAAACGGGAAGAGCCCAAACCAAAAAGCUUGCUUGUUGGGGUUGUAGGACACUCUAUACGGAGUUACAAAGGACGACAUUAGACGAAUCAUCUGGAAAGAUGAAUCAAAGAAGGUAAUAAUCCUGUAGUCGAAAAUGUUGUCUCUCUUGAGUGGAUCCUGAGUACGACGGAGCACGUGAAAUUCCGUCGGAAUCUGGGAGGACCAUCUCCUAAGGCUAAAUACUCUCUAGUGACCGAUAGUGAACCAGUACCGUGAGGGAAAGGUGAAAAGCACCCCGGAAGGGGAGUGAAAUAGAACCUGAAACCGUGUGCUUACAAGUAGUCAGAGCCCGUUAAUGGGUGAUGGCGUGCCUUUUGUAGAAUGAACCGGCGAGUUACGAUUUGAUGCAAGGUUAAGCAGUAAAUGUGGAGCCGUAGCGAAAGCGAGUCUGAAUAGGGCGUUUAGUAUUUGGUCGUAGACCCGAAACCAGGUGAUCUACCCUUGGUCAGGUUGAAGUUCAGGUAACACUGAAUGGAGGACCGAACCGACUUACGUUGAAAAGUGAGCGGAUGAACUGAGGGUAGCGGAGAAAUUCCAAUCGAACCUGGAGAUAGCUGGUUCUCUCCGAAAUAGCUUUAGGGCUAGCCUCAAGUGAUGAUUAUUGGAGGUAGAGCACUGUUUGGACGAGGGGCCCCUCUCGGGUUACCGAAUUCAGACAAACUCCGAAUGCCAAUUAAUUUAACUUGGGAGUCAGAACAUGGGUGAUAAGGUCCGUGUUCGAAAGGGAAACAGCCCAGACCACCAGCUAAGGUCCCAAAAUAUAUGUUAAGUGGAAAAGGAUGUGGCGUUGCCCAGACAACUAGGAUGUUGGCUUAGAAGCAGCCAUCAUUUAAAGAGUGCGUAAUAGCUCACUAGUCGAGUGACACUGCGCCGAAAAUGUACCGGGGCUAAACAUAUUACCGAAGCUGUGGAUUGUCCUUUGGACAAUGGUAGGAGAGCGUUCUAAGGGCGUUGAAGCAUGAUCGUAAGGACAUGUGGAGCGCUUAGAAGUGAGAAUGCCGGUGUGAGUAGCGAAAGACGGGUGAGAAUCCCGUCCACCGAUUGACUAAGGUUUCCAGAGGAAGGCUCGUCCGCUCUGGGUUAGUCGGGUCCUAAGCUGAGGCCGACAGGCGUAGGCGAUGGAUAACAGGUUGAUAUUCCUGUACCACCUAUAAUCGUUUUAAUCGAUGGGGGGACGCAGUAGGAUAGGCGAAGCGUGCGAUUGGAUUGCACGUCUAAGCAGUAAGGCUGAGUAUUAGGCAAAUCCGGUACUCGUUAAGGCUGAGCUGUGAUGGGGAGAAGACAUUGAGUCUUCGAGUCGUUGAUUUCACACUGCCGAGAAAAGCCUCUAGAUAGAAAAUAGGUGCCCGUACCGCAAACCGACACAGGUAGUCAAGAUGAGAAUUCUAAGGUGAGCGAGCGAACUCUCGUUAAGGAACUCGGCAAAAUGACCCCGUAACUUCGGGAGAAGGGGUGCUCUUUAGGGUUAACGCCCAGAAGAGCCGCAGUGAAUAGGCCCAAGCGACUGUUUAUCAAAAACACAGGUCUCUGCUAAACCGUAAGGUGAUGUAUAGGGGCUGACGCCUGCCCGGUGCUGGAAGGUUAAGAGGAGUGGUUAGCUUCUGCGAAGCUACGAAUCGAAGCCCCAGUAAACGGCGGCCGUAACUAUAACGGUCCUAAGGUAGCGAAAUUCCUUGUCGGGUAAGUUCCGACCCGCACGAAAGGCGUAACGAUUUGGGCACUGUCUCAACGAGAGACUCGGUGAAAUCAUAGUACCUGUGAAGAUGCAGGUUACCCGCGACAGGACGGAAAGACCCCGUGGAGCUUUACUGUAGCCUGAUAUUGAAAUUCGGCACAGCUUGUACAGGAUAGGUAGGAGCCUUUGAAACGUGAGCGCUAGCUUACGUGGAGGCGCUGGUGGGAUACUACCCUAGCUGUGUUGGCUUUCUAACCCGCACCACUUAUCGUGGUGGGAGACAGUGUCAAGCGGGCAGUUUGACUGGGGCGGUCGCCUCCUAAAAGGUAACGGAGGCGCUCAAAGGUUCCCUCAGAAUGGUUGGAAAUCAUUCAUAGAGUGUAAAGGCAUAAGGGAGCUUGACUGCGAGACCUACAAGUCGAGCAGGGUCGAAAGACGGACUUAGUGAUCCGGUGGUUCCGCAUGGAAGGGCCAUCGCUCAACGGAUAAAAGCUACCCCGGGGAUAACAGGCUUAUCUCCCCCAAGAGUUCACAUCGACGGGGAGGUUUGGCACCUCGAUGUCGGCUCAUCGCAUCCUGGGGCUGUAGUCGGU
This 2562-nucleotide ribosomal RNA is filed under the name Staphylococcus aureus M0290. RNAcentral describes it as "bacterial LSU rRNA". It matches the Rfam family "Bacterial large subunit ribosomal RNA", at positions 3 to 2563 of the family's 2925-position model. Lineage: Bacteria; Bacillati; Bacillota; Bacilli; Caryophanales; Staphylococcaceae. The record is from RNAcentral. RNAcentral also lists the same sequence under 1 other name.